AGUGAACGCUGGCGGUAGGCCUAACACAUGCAAGUCGAACGGCAGCACAGUAAGAGCUUGCUCUUACGGGUGGCGAGUGGCGGACGGGUGAGGAAUACAUCGGAAUCUACUUUUUCGUGGGGGAUAACGUAGGGAAACUUACGCUAAUACCGCAUACGACCUACGGGUGAAAGCAGGGGAUCUUCGGACCUUGCGCGAUUGAAUGAGCCGAUGUCGGAUUAGCUAGUUGGCGGGGUAAAGGCCCACCAAGGCGACGAUCCGUAGCAGGUCUGAGAGGAUGAUCAGCCACACUGGAACUGAGACACGGUCCAGACUCCUACGGGAGGCAGCAGUGGGGAAUAUUGGACAAUGGGCGCAAGCCUGAUCCAGCCAUACCGCGUGGGUGAAGAAGGCCUUCGGGUUGUAAAGCCCUUUUGUUGGGAAAGAAAAACAGCAGGUUAAUACCCCGCUGUUCUGACGGUACCCAAAGAAUAAGCACCGGCUAACUUCGUG
RNAcentral lists this ribosomal RNA (492 nucleotides) under uncultured bacterium. RNAcentral's name for it is "partial 16S ribosomal RNA". It matches the Rfam family "Bacterial small subunit ribosomal RNA", at positions 29 to 507 of the family's 1533-position model. The record is from RNAcentral.